Molecule: long non-coding RNA, 1216 nt
Filed under: Marmota monax (woodchuck)
Lineage: Eukaryota; Metazoa; Chordata; Mammalia; Rodentia; Sciuridae
Source: RNAcentral
CGUUAAGGAGGUGGAGGGGAAGGGCCUGACCAGGGGCUGUAAGAAGAGCCCACCCAGCAGGAGCAAGGGAGAAGUGGGCCAUGGCUGGGCUCUUGACCCUGGCCCAGCUGGGAAACCAGCCUUGAGAUCUCUGGCAGGGGCGACCUCUUCAGAGGCCCUUCCUGGCUUACUUCUCACCAACUAGGUCAGCGUCUCCCACAUGCCACCAGAGCUGGGACACAGCUGUGGACAAAGGACAGGGAGCUGGCCUCGAGAGCCUGACAUCCAAAUCAGGGCUGAGAAAAACCUGGAAAGAACGGGCCGGCAUUCACCCAAGGGAGCGUGGGGUGGCAGGAGCCGGCAGCCCAUGGGCCUCUGGCCUCUGCCUUCAAGGCCUGCCUCCCACCCUCGCUGGGGAUUGAACCCAGGGCCUGUGCAUGCAAGGUGAGUGCUCCAUCAACUGAGCUAGGUCCCCAGCUCUCCCCCAGGGUUUCUUGCUUCGACAUCUCUCCAUUCACGUAUUAUCUCAUUUUUCUUUUAGCAAAAACAUUUUUUCUUUUCUGUGUAUAUUUGGCCAAACAUACCUCUCCACUGCCAAAAUUUCUCUUUGUUCAGUUUCAGUGACCAGUUCAGACCCAAUUAUGUCCUAAUUUUCAAGUUCCUAGGAGAGGGUCUUUGCAGGGAGUUAUAUGGACAAUUGUAAAAGAGCUGCCACCCCAAAGGAGGAUCGUCCCAGAGGACACCCCAAGUAGAGUACGGUAUGGCAGGAGCCAAAACAUGUUUGUACAGUGGGACUACUUUCAGAAAUAUACCCUAAGGAAAUGUUCUGUUGAACAUGAGCAAAAAAUUACCUGAAGGCAUCAUUUGUCACCUAUCUGUAGUGGCAGGGACAUGAAAUCCAAGGUGGCAACUCAAGUAUUCAUAGGGAUCAGAGAGGUGAUAAUGUGAGGGAAGGAGGCAGGCCUGGUGAGUGACAUCAGGGAGUGGUGGCAACUGUAGCAAAGUGGAUGUCGCAUGCCCUCUCUGAAGGGGCACCUCUGCUACUUGGUAGCACGCCAGUGUGCUGAGACCCAGAUCCCAAGCCUCCCCGUGACGUCCCUGAAAAAUGCCAGAGAAACAACUAAAGCCAUAAUUCAAUCCAUAGCCAUCAUUUUUAGCCCAAAUACCCUCAAAUAAAUGUUUUAUUAGUGGAUUAUAGAGCUAUCAGCAUGUUAUUUUAGCAACCCUUAAAGCAGUA